This 21-nucleotide unclassified non-coding RNA is filed under the name Chlamydomonas reinhardtii. RNAcentral describes it as "small RNA Cre_1766". The record is from RNAcentral. Lineage: Eukaryota; Viridiplantae; Chlorophyta; Chlorophyceae; Chlamydomonadales; Chlamydomonadaceae.
GCGUGUCAGCGUUCUGGUGCG